ACACUGCUGAGGAGUCCUACACUAGGACGAAACAGCCGUCCAGUAC
This 46-nucleotide non-coding RNA is filed under the name Schistosoma curassoni. Lineage: Eukaryota; Metazoa; Platyhelminthes; Trematoda; Strigeidida; Schistosomatidae. The record is from RNAcentral.